UACGUAGGGAGCGAGCGUUGUUCGGAAUUACUGGGCGUAAAGAGUGUGUAGGCGGUGCUCUAAGUUCGGUGUGAAAUCUCCUGGCUCAACUGGGAGGGUGCGCCGGAAACUGGAGUGCUUGAGCGUGGGAGAGGAAAGCGGAAUUCCUGGUGUAGCGGUGAAAUGCGUAGAUAUCAGGAGGAACACCUGUGGUGUAGACGGCUUUCUGGACCAUAGCUGACGCUGAGACACGAAAGCGUGGGUAGCAAACAGG
This 253-nucleotide ribosomal RNA is filed under the name uncultured bacterium. RNAcentral's name for it is "partial 16S ribosomal RNA". It matches the Rfam family "Bacterial small subunit ribosomal RNA", at positions 524 to 776 of the family's 1533-position model. The record is from RNAcentral.